CCUACGGGAGGCAGCAGUAGGGAAUCUUUCACAAUGGGCGAAAGCCUGAUGGAGCAACGCCGCGUGCAGGAUGAAGGCCUUCGGGUUGUAAACUGCUUUUAUAAGCGAGAAAUAUGAUGGUAACUUAUGAAUAAGGAUCGGCUAACUACGUGCCAGCAGCCGCGGUCAUACGUAGGAUCCGAGCAUUAUCCGGAGUGACUGGGUGUAAAGAGUUGCGUAGGUGGCAUAAUAAGUAGCUAGUGAAAUCUGGUGGCUCAACCAUUCAGACUAUUAGCUAAACUGUUAAGCUCGAGACCGUUAGAGGUAACUGGAAUGUCUAGUGUAGGAGUGAAAUCCGUAGAUAUUAGAAGGAACACCAAUAGCGUAGGCAGGUUGCUGGGACGGUUCUGACACUGAGGCACGAAAGCGUAGGGAGCAAACGGGAUUAGAUACCCUGGUAGUC
RNAcentral lists this ribosomal RNA (442 nucleotides) under uncultured bacterium. RNAcentral describes it as "partial 16S ribosomal RNA". It matches the Rfam family "Bacterial small subunit ribosomal RNA", at positions 338 to 795 of the family's 1533-position model. The record is from RNAcentral.